Molecule: ribosomal RNA, 492 nt
Filed under: uncultured bacterium
Lineage: Bacteria
Description: partial 16S ribosomal RNA
Rfam family: Bacterial small subunit ribosomal RNA
Source: RNAcentral
AGUGAACGCUGGCGGUAGGCCUAACACAUGCAAGUCGAACGGCAGCACAGUAAGAGCUUGCUCUUACGGGUGGCGAGUGGCGGACGGGUGAGGAAUACAUCGGAACCUACUUUUUCGUGGGGGAUAACGUAGGGAAACUUACGCUAAUACCGCAUACGACCUACGGGUGAAAGCAGGGGAUCUUCGGACCUUGCGCGAUUGAAUGAGCCGAUGUCGGGUUAGCUAGUUGGCGGGGUAAAGGCCCACCAAGGCGACGAUCCGUAGCUGGUCUGAGAGGAUGAUCAGCCACACUGGAACUGAGACACGGUCCAGACUCCUACGGGAGGCAGCAGUGGGGAAUAUUGGACAAUGGGCGCAAGCCUGAUCCAGCCAUACCGCGUGGGUGAAGAAGGCCUUCGGGUUGUAAAGCCCUUUUGUUGGGAAAGAAAAGCAGCAGGUUAAUACCCCGCUGUUCUGACGGUACCCAAAGAAUAAGCACCGGCUAACUUCGUG